AGCCGGCGCCGCGCGCUGAUUGGGCGGGGCCGCGGCCAUCUUCUCCGUUCCCCGGCGCGGCCGAGCUGGGCGGGGUCCGGCUGAGUUCAGGCCCGCGCCGAGUCACCGGGCGCCGUGGCUCGGUCCGCUCGCUCCCUUCUCCCCCCGCAGGCAGCCCUGCAGCGCCUCGAGCGCGGCCGGUGGGGCAGAGGGGAGUUAGGAAGCGAUUCGCCUCCUUCCCGCGCCAUUUUAAGGCACGGUUGCAACACCGAGAGGGGUCUUGUCAUAGAGAUGUCCCGGAGGGCGAUUCCCGGCAGUUCUGGUCUCCCUCACUGAAAAAAAACCGCGUUUAGGAGAAAACCAUAAGGCUAUCAAGUUGCAGCUGUGGAUGAUGGAAGCACCAGCUUCCUGACUGACUCCUCACUGGAGUCAGUCUUCCACACCAGGAGGAGCACAGAGAGUUUUGCUGCAGGUGUAUCUUCAGCUACAGGAGCUUCCAGAAGACUCACAAAUACCCCAUAAAAACAGUGUCUGCCUUUUCCUGAAAGUUUGUUGGUGGUCUUAAAAACAUGGACAUCUACCUUUCUCAAAUCUUAAUAAGCAAUAGAGUGUGUUAAAGAUGGAAAAACCCGAUCUUCCCGCAGGUCUGUUCCCUAAGCAGAGGAACCACGUUUUGUUCGCACUGCCACAGAGCUGGAUGAAGAUGUGGUGACCCCUGCCCUGCACCAGGUGCUCACCACCCCUCCUCCCUGACCUCCCCACACUGCUCCACGUGUGACCGCUGCAUUCCUGUUAGGUAGACAGCUUCCCUAACAAGUCAGAAGCGGCUGCAACACAUGGUGGAAAAAGGGGGGUGCGGUGCUGGGAUGAGUAACUGUGGGAAUAUUAGCCCAACCCUCCAUGCUGUGCAAACAACACAGCUGUGCUGCCGGUGAUGUGGCUUAUAGCUGGCAGGCGCAGGGCACGGAGCAAGCUGGUAUCUGCAGAAGAGCAUGUAGACACAGUCUCAGUUGUUUAGCUCUGUGUUAACAGUGAAAAACAAAUCCUGAGCGGAGUGAACAAAUCUCAUCAUGGCAAAGUGCUUCAUAAAUUACUAAUUCAGCCUCCUGCAGACUGAUUGGGAAUCAAGCAGUUUACCUCAGAGUACGACACAUUUUUCUAUUUCGCCUUCUCCCUGUGGCACCUGUAGAUAUAUUCUGAUGUGCAAAGCUUUGUGUCAGUGACUAAUGACUACCAAACAGUUGCUGCAGAUUUCCAUAGGCCGUACAUUAUCGCUCCUCUUUUCAACAUCAGGAAAAGACCUAAGAACCAUCCACCUGGGCCAAAAAGGGUCAGCAGAUAAAAAAAAAUUCUUUCAGAACAUCAAGCCUGGCACUGAGGCACAUUUCAAGUGCCACUGGCAACACAAAGAGGUUUUGCACCACAGCUUUUGCAUUCCUAUUUCCAUUUUCUGACCAUAUUGACCAAAAUCGACAUUCCUGCCCAGAUGGGAUGACAAAGGAAACUGUUCCUUCCAAAAGCCACCGAUGUACGUGAAAUCAAAUGGAUACUCCAAGCAGUCCUUUCUGAUCAGCGCCUCUGGGAAGAUGCUACGUGCAACAAACCAAGUUGUAGUUUGGGAUAUUUUUGAAGGGGGGGA
Non-coding RNA from Phalacrocorax carbo (great cormorant), 1618 nucleotides. The record is from RefSeq and is a predicted model, not a curated record. NCBI's taxonomy places the organism in Eukaryota, Metazoa, Chordata, Aves, Suliformes, Phalacrocoracidae.